Long non-coding RNA from Scomber japonicus (chub mackerel), 542 nucleotides. RefSeq lists it as uncharacterized. NCBI's taxonomy places the organism in Eukaryota, Metazoa, Chordata, Actinopteri, Scombriformes, Scombridae. The record is from RefSeq and is a predicted model, not a curated record. The transcript is spliced from 3 exons.
CCUGCUGUAAUAUUCACCCAAUUUGCUGUUCUUCAUCCCUGCUGAAGAUGCUAUACUCUAAAUACUCACUGCUCACUUUGAAUCUUUGCAACAAGAAGAGCUCAAAUGUGUUUUUCAAUCCCUGGAUGAGGUGAGUAACUUUACACAGUUGGAGCACGAUUAGCAUAAUACAUGUAGUUUGUGCAAAUCUACAUUCAGGGAUUCGUAUGGACCUUUGGAAUGAAAAAAAAUGGUGACGAGCAUACAUGUCUGUAUGCAUAUAGAUGGUUUCUUAAUUCAUGAAAUUCUUCAACCUUGCAGAUGGACAGAAUACAGAAAGAGGAAGAGUCUGCAUAAAAAGUGAUGGAGGAAAGGAAGAAGAAAAAGAAUGUCUUCGCAGAUUCAUCAGUGCAUCACUUCAUCUGGACUCCAUGGGGAGAUCUAUAUUGCUGCUGCUAAGGACUGAAGUCCCUCGAUUCAAAAUCUUCCUGUAGAGUCCAUGUGCCAAAGACAAUAUCUAAUCAUCAAUAUCAUCUGCAUAAUAAAAAACUCUUUUUGCUUCA